This 72-nucleotide transfer RNA is filed under the name Daphnia galeata. It matches the Rfam family "tRNA". From Rfam's summary of the family: Transfer RNA (tRNA) molecules are approximately 80 nucleotides in length. Their secondary structure includes four short double-helical elements and three loops (D, anti-codon, and T loops). The record is from Rfam by way of RNAcentral. Lineage: Eukaryota; Metazoa; Arthropoda; Branchiopoda; Diplostraca; Daphniidae.
GGGGGUAUAGCUCAGUGGUAGAGCAUCCGACUGCAGAUCGGAAUGUCCAUGGAUCAAUCCCGGGUGCUCCCU